RNAcentral lists this ribosomal RNA (217 nucleotides) under uncultured bacterium. RNAcentral describes it as "partial 16S ribosomal RNA". It matches the Rfam family "Bacterial small subunit ribosomal RNA", at positions 28 to 242 of the family's 1533-position model. The record is from RNAcentral.
GAUGAACGCUAGCGGCAGGCCUAAUACAUGCAAGUCGAACGGUAAGUAUGAUAGCAAUAUUGUACCAAGAGUGACGUACGGGUGCGUAACACGUAUGCAACCUACCCUUUACAGAUGGAUAGCUCGGGGAAACUCGAAUUAACCCGUCAUAGUAUAGUUGAAUGGCAUCAUUUAAUUAUUAAAACUGAGGUGGUAAAGGAUGGGCAUGCGUCUGAUU